CAAGCUGUGAUGGGGAGGGAAAUAAUAGUACCGAAGUUCCUGAUGUCACACUGCCGAGAAAAGCUUCUAGUGAGAAAACAGCGGCCCGUACCGCAAACCGACACAGGUAGUCGAGGAGAGAAUCCUAAGGUGAGCGAGAGAACUCUCGUUAAGGAACUCGGCAAAAUGACCCCGUAACUUCGGGAGAAGGGGUGCUGAUCAUACGAUCAGCCGCAGUGAAUAGGCCCAAGCGACUGUUUAUCAAAAACACAGGUCUCUGCAAAAUCGUAAGAUGAAGUAUAGGGGCUGACGCCUGCCCGGUGCUGGAAGGUUAAGAGGAGUGCUUAGCGCAAGCGAAGGUACGAAUUGAAGC
This 352-nucleotide ribosomal RNA is filed under the name Enterococcus faecium. RNAcentral's name for it is "partial 23S ribosomal RNA". It matches the Rfam family "Bacterial large subunit ribosomal RNA", at positions 1557 to 1918 of the family's 2925-position model. The record is from RNAcentral. Lineage: Bacteria; Bacillati; Bacillota; Bacilli; Lactobacillales; Enterococcaceae.